AAUGCACCAAUUUGUAAGUCGCUCUGGAUAAGAGCUUCUGCUAAAUGACUUAAA
Salmo salar (Atlantic salmon) is the source of this 54-nucleotide non-coding RNA. Lineage: Eukaryota; Metazoa; Chordata; Actinopteri; Salmoniformes; Salmonidae. The record is from Rfam.